UCGAACGAGGACGGGAGCUUGCUCCCGAUCCGAGUGGCGGACGGGUGAGUAACACGUGACCAACCUGUCCCAGGGUGAGGGACAACCUGGGGAAACCCGGGCUAAUACCGCAUGAUGUCUCGUGGUCGCAUGACUGUGAGAUCAAAGAGAGCCUCUGCUUGCAAGCUCUCGCCCAGGGAGGGGGUCGCGGCGUAUCAGCUAGUUGGUAGGGUAAUGGCCUACCAAGGCUACGACGCGUAGCGGGUCUGAGAGGACGACCCGCCUCAUUGGGACUGAGAUACGGCCCAGACUCCUACGGGAGGCAGCAGUGGGGAAUAUUGCGCAAUGGACGAAAGUCUGACGCAGCGACGCCGUGUGUGGGAGGAAGCUCUUCGGGGUGUAAACCACUGUCAGAGGGGAAGAAAGGCGCCGGCCUGAAAGGUCCGGCGAUUGACGGUACCCUCAAAGGAAGCGCCGGCUAACUCCGUGCCAGCAGCCGCGGUAAGACGGAGGGCGCAAGCGUUGUUCGGAAUUACUGGGCGUAAAGCGCGGGCAGGUGGUCUGUUAAGUCGUUUGUGAAAAUCCGGGGCUCAACCCCGCGAAAUGCAUACGAUACUGGCAGACUAGAGACUGGUAGAGGCUAGCGGAAUUCCUGGUGUAGCGGUGGAAUGCGUAGAUAUCAGGAAGAACACCUGUGGCGAAGGCGGCUAGCUGGGCCAGA
This 700-nucleotide ribosomal RNA is filed under the name uncultured bacterium. RNAcentral's name for it is "bacterial SSU rRNA". It matches the Rfam family "Bacterial small subunit ribosomal RNA", at positions 62 to 738 of the family's 1533-position model. The record is from RNAcentral.